Molecule: ribosomal RNA, 253 nt
Filed under: uncultured bacterium
Lineage: Bacteria
Description: partial 16S ribosomal RNA
Rfam family: Bacterial small subunit ribosomal RNA
Source: RNAcentral
UACAGAGGGUGCAAGCGUUGUUCGGAAUUACUGGGCGUAAAGCGCGUGUAGGCGGUUUAGCAAGUCGGUCGUGAAAUCCCUUGGCUUAACCAAGGAACUGCGUUCGAAACUACUAGACUAGAGUGUCGGAGGGGAUGGCGGAAUUCCCGGUGUAGAGGUGAAAUUCGUAGAUAUCGGGAGGAACACCUGUGGCGAAGGCGGCCAUCUGGAAGACUACUGACGCUGAGACGCGAAAGCGUGGGGAGCAAACAGG